GGGUUGUAGACUGACGCGUAUGACACACGUACAGGGCAGGGCGCACAGCGAGUCGCCACUGGCCAGAGCCCAGAAUGUCUCAGUACUGAUUGGUGACGCAAAGGAAGCAGAAGAAUACGUCUUAUCUGACAACGUCGAGAAAGAAGGAUGGUUAAGUUCGUUGUGAGGAAGCGAAAAGUACAGGAAGAUGAAUCUCAAGACCAAAUGGUGGCUUCCAGUAUUGGUACUGCUUCAGAGUCAAACAUUGAAGAUGUUCCUGGACCAUCUGAAUCAAAAUGUGAAAAGAGGAAGCACGCAUCUCUUUGGAUUGGAUUGUAUCACCCUUCGAACUGGCUGACAUGGCUGAAGAACAGGACUUCACGGCAAUAGAACGUGACGAAUUUCUUGAUAUGUCUGCUGAUUCAACACUGGAAGUCAAAUUUGAGAAGAGUGACGUGACACUGGCAGCUUUUUGGCAUGGAACAUCGGGGGAAUAUCCUAAUUUGGCUAAGAAAGCUAUUUCUCUACUUUUGCCUUUCUCCACAUCGUAUCUGUGUGAGCAGGCAUUUUCUGCCAUGGCAACAAUAAAAUCGAAACAAAGAAAUAGGCUUCUUUCACUUGAGGAUGAUAUGCGGGUGGCAUUAUCAACAAUAAGACCUGAUAUCAAGAGUUUGUGUUCCAAGCAUCAAUCGCAAGUUUCACACUAAAUAUACAUGCAUGGUUCACUCUUGUCUAUUUGUGUGUAUGUCUUGUAUCAUAGUGUAACACUGUAACUACUUGAAUACAUUGUGCAACUACUGUAAAACUUGUCACAAUUACAUAUUUGUAUUAUAAUACCAUUUUUUGUAAUAGCAGGAUCAGUGUAAAGAAAAUUUUCAUAUCUAUGUAUAAGGUGUUGUUACAUCGAUGCAAAAUGUCGAAAUGAAAAAAAUAUAUAUAAUAAAAAAACAA
Long non-coding RNA from Portunus trituberculatus (swimming crab), 930 nucleotides. RefSeq lists it as uncharacterized. The record is from RefSeq and is a predicted model, not a curated record. Lineage: Eukaryota; Metazoa; Arthropoda; Malacostraca; Decapoda; Portunidae. The transcript is spliced from 2 exons.